RNAcentral lists this ribosomal RNA (886 nucleotides) under uncultured archaeon. RNAcentral describes it as "bacterial SSU rRNA". It matches the Rfam family "Archaeal small subunit ribosomal RNA", at positions 459 to 1344 of the family's 1478-position model. The record is from RNAcentral.
CAGCCGCCGCGGUAAUACCAGCUCUUCAAGUGGUCGGGACUUUUAUUGGGCUUAAAGUGUCCGUAGCCGGUUUAGUAAGUUCCUGGUAAAAUCUAACAGCUUAACUGUUAGCUCGCUAGGAAUACUGCUUUACUAGAGGGUGGGAAAGGUUUGAGGUACUCUAGGGGUAGCGGUGAAAUGCGAUAAUCCUUAGGGGACCACCAGUGGCGAAGGCGUCAGACUGGAACACGCCUGACGGUGAGGGACGAAAGCCAGGGGAGCGAACGGGAUUAGAUACCCCGGUAGUCCUGGCUGUAAACGAUGCGUGCUAGGUGUUGGUAGGGCUUUGAGCUGUAUCAGUGCCAAAGGGAAACUGUUAAGCGCGCCGCCUGGGAAGUACGCUCGCAAGAGUGAAACUUAAAGGAAUUGGCGGGGGAGCACCACAAGGGGUGAAGCCUGCGGUUCAAUUGGACUCAACGCCGGAAAACUUACCGAGGGCGACAGCAGAAUGAAGGUCAGGCUGACGACCUUACCAGACAAGCUGAGCGGAGGUGCAUGGCCGUCGCCAGUUCGUGCCGUGAGGUAUCCUGUUAAGUCAGGCAACGAACGAGAUCCACGUGUUUAAUUGCCAGCAAUGGGCUUAGGCUCAGUUGGGAACGUUAAACAGACUGCCACCAUAUAGGUGGAGGAAGGAGUGGGCCACGGCAGGUCAGUAUGCCCCUAAUCCCUCGGGCCACACGCGGGCUGCAAUGGUAUGGACAAUGGGUUGCGACUCUGAAAAGAGAAGCCAAUCUCGAAACCAUAUCGCAGUUGGGAUUGUCGGCUGUAACCCGCCGACAUGAACGUGGAAUCCCUAGUAAUCGUGUGUCAUCAUCGCACGGUGAAUACGUCCCUGCCCCUUGCACAC